RNAcentral lists this ribosomal RNA (889 nucleotides) under Chloroflexi bacterium enrichment culture clone B312142. Its description in RNAcentral is "bacterial SSU rRNA". It matches the Rfam family "Bacterial small subunit ribosomal RNA", at positions 8 to 916 of the family's 1533-position model. Lineage: Bacteria; Bacillati; Chloroflexota. The record is from RNAcentral.
AGAGUUGAUCAUGGCUCAGGAUGAACGUGGGCGGCGUGCCUAAUACAUGCAAGUCGAACGAAGAUUGUAGUAAUACUGUCUUAGUGGCGAACGGGUGAGUAACGCGUGGGUGACCUGCCCCGAAGUGUGGGAUAACAGCUCGAAAGGACUGCUAAUACCGCAUAAUAUCCAAGAGAUUAGAUGCUUUUGGAUUAAAGGAGUAAUUCGCUUCGGGAGGGGCCCGCGUCCCAUCAGCUAGUUGGUAAGGUAAUGGCUUACCAAGGCGAUGACGGGUAGGGGACCUGAGAGGGUGGCCCCCCACAAUGGAACUGAAACACGGUCCAUACACCUACGGGUGGCAGCAGUAGGGAAUAUUAGUAAUGGGCGAAAGCCUGAACUAGCAACGCCGCGUGUGCGAAGAAGGCCUUCGGGUUGUAAAGCACUUUUUGAGAGGAUGAGGAAGGACGGUACUCUCAGAAUAAGUCUCGGCUAACUACGUGCCAGCAGCCGCGGUAACACGUAGGAGGCAAACGUUAUCCGGAUUUACUGGGCGUAAAGCGCGUGUAGGUGGUUUGGUAAGUAGGGCGUGAAAGCUCCCGGCUCAACUGGGAGAGGACGUUCUAAACUACCAAGCUUGAGGAUGGUAGAGGGAGGUGGAAUUCCGGGUGUAGCGGUGGAAUGCGCAGAUAUCCGGAGGAACACCAGUGGCGAAGGCGGCCUCCUGGACCAUUCCUGACACUCAGACGCGAAAGCUAGGGUAGCAAACGGGAUUAGAGACCCCGGUAGUCCUAGCCCUAAACGAUGUAGACUUGGCGUCGGUGGUUUAAACGCCAUCGGUGUCGGAGCUAACGCGUUAAGUCUACCGCCUGGGGACUACGGCCGCAAGGUUAAAACUCAAAUGAAUUGACGG